Passer montanus (Eurasian tree sparrow) is the source of this 1818-nucleotide long non-coding RNA. RefSeq lists it as uncharacterized. The transcript has 3 exons. The record is from RefSeq and is a predicted model, not a curated record. Lineage: Eukaryota; Metazoa; Chordata; Aves; Passeriformes; Passeridae.
UCUUAAUAAGCUGAUAAGCUAAAUUUGAUAGCAUUUGACCUGAAAUGUGGAAAACUAUCUGUGCUAACAUUCAGAUUUAUUACUGCUGCUAGCUCACAGAUGUCCUCUAUCAAAAGACAAAUAUGAAUGCUGUAAAAGUCUGGCCAGUGACUAGGAAUGCUUUGCAUUGUCAGAGACACAACUCUUUCAUUUGGUGCAAAUCUCUUUGAUAGGAACAAAGGAUAUCUUUUUAGGAAACACGUCUUUAACUUGAACUUCUGCAAGGGCUGGUGUUUUGUGAAUGCCUGUUCUCAUUAUUCCUUUAAUAAUGUCACCUCUUCACAAUCAGGAAUGUUUCAGUGCUGUUGGUGCUGCAAACAGUCUCUUUCCCAAACCAAAAAUUCACUCCCUCCUUGUGCCACCUUAAUUGCUUUAACAGCCCAGCUGUCUCUAAUAGGGACAAAUGGUCAGUUUACUUGGGCAGAUGGCAAGCAAGCUUGCUGGAGGGUUUGAGGUCAUGAAGACUGGCUGUCUUAAAGGUUGUAAAUACCCAUGCUGGAUGGUAUUUCCAGGCUGUUGAAGGCUUUGGAGUCUCAUCCUGUGGCUAUACCUGCCCAGCAGAGUGAGCCCAUUUCUACAUAGAGCUCUUUCAUCUAAUUCUGUUGAAAAUGUGAGAUAGCUUCAAUUUGCUGUAAAUGAAGAUGGAUGUGAAAACCCAUUCGCCUCAAUAAUGCCAGAACUGCCAGCCCAUGACUGCUGAGAAGAAAUGAAUCUAUUCUGCUGAAACUUAGUGAAUUCAGAUGUUUACUGGACACCAAAUCACUGCAGGAUGACAAUGCUAAAGGACAGAAAUGCUUUUUUUCAGGCACUGGUUUUCAAAGCUUUUCAAGGUACAGUCCCUUUCUCAUUGAUCUCUGAAGGUUUAAAUAGUGGUUACAAUUUCAAGAUUAUUUGUCAUCUCUAACACCUCAGAACCUUUUUUGAAUCCCAUUGUGAUCUGUAGUUCGAUAAAAUAAUACUUUACAAAGCAAUCUCUUGGUGAGCAGCUUCCACCAGAGAUUUCUGUGAUUAAGAAAUAGCUCCUUGACAAUAGUUUCUUCGUUUUUGAAUUUCUCAAACCUUUUCCUCGGAGCAACCUAGAGAGCUGAGCAUCACAAAGACUAUAAUACAUAAUUUAAGCUAUUAUUCUCUCGACUGAAUGGUGAUGUAGAACUCAGUAAGAGAUUUAAUUUUUUAGUUUAUUGCUGCCUGCACGAAAGCUUUCCUUGCUGCAAAGAGAAGACAAUUAGAUUCCUGAGGGGCACAGUAAUUUGCAAUUGUAUUCAUUUGUAAAACAGAAACAAAUGUCAACCCUUGUACAGCAAAAAGGGCAUGGGGCCCUCAUAAUGGAGCAAAAAAUAAUAAACCUUGUAGCUUGCUAAUAACUUCAUUUAUGUGCUUAAACAAGGCAAGAAGGAUGCUUUUUCAAGCAGUGUCCCUGUAAGAAAUUGCUGAACUUGGACUACACUGAUAGAGAAGGCUUUAUAAACCUCUUGUCAUGUUCUUAGAAUGAUGUACUAGUGCUAGAAAUGUGAAGUACUAACACCAACAAUACCAAAGCAACAUUCUAUUGAACAUUCCACUGUGCAGCACAAGACAGCUGGCACAUAAUUCACUGAGGACUACAUUGAUAGGAGCAGAUAAAAGAAUGUAUUUGAGUUCAGGUUGUGCCAAGGUUUAUUUUCCUAAGAUGGGAGUUUUGAUAUCUGUUAUCUCUCCAUUGUGCCAAACAAAAAUCCUGGAUACUUGCUUUUUACAAAGGGCUGCCUGGGUUCUGUGAUAGAAUGUAUUAAACUUCAU